RNAcentral lists this ribosomal RNA (610 nucleotides) under Bacillus pumilus. RNAcentral describes it as "bacterial SSU rRNA". It matches the Rfam family "Bacterial small subunit ribosomal RNA", at positions 836 to 1446 of the family's 1533-position model. The record is from RNAcentral. Lineage: Bacteria; Bacillati; Bacillota; Bacilli; Caryophanales; Bacillaceae.
CCCCUUAGUGCUGCAGCUAACGCAUUAAGCACUCCGCCUGGGGAGUACGGUCGCAAGACUGANACUCAAAGGAAUUGACGGGGGCCCGCACCAGCGGUGGAGCAUGUGGUUUAAUUCGNAGCAACGCGAAGAACCUUACCAGGUCUUGACAUCCUCUGACAACCCNAGAGAUAGGGCUUUCCCUUCGGGGACAGAGUGACAGGUGGUGCAUGGUUGUCGUCAGCUCGUGUCGUGAGAUGUUGGGUUAAGUCCCGCAACGAGCGCAACCCUUGAUCUUAGUUGCCAGCAUUCAGUUGGGCACUCUAAGGUGACUGCCGGUGACAAACCGGAGGAAGGUGGGGAUGACGUCAAAUCAUCAUGCCCCUUAUGACCUGGGCUACACACGUGCUACAAUGGACAGAACAAAGGGCUGCAAGACCGCAAGGUUUAGCCAAUCCCAUAAAUCUGUUCUCAGUUCGGAUCGCAGUCUGCAACUCGACUGCGUGAAGCAGGAAUCGCUAGUAAUCGCGGAUCAGCAUGCCGCGGUGAAUACGUUCCCGGGCCUUGUACACACCGCCCGUCACACCACGAGAGUUUGCAACACCCGAAGUCGGUGAGGUAACCUUUAUGG